RNAcentral lists this ribosomal RNA (497 nucleotides) under uncultured bacterium. RNAcentral describes it as "partial 16S ribosomal RNA". It matches the Rfam family "Bacterial small subunit ribosomal RNA", at positions 28 to 507 of the family's 1533-position model. The record is from RNAcentral.
GACGAACGCUGGCGGCGUGCCUAACACAUGCAAGUCGAGCGGAAAGACCAGGCGCUUGCUCCGUUCACGUUUGCGGCGGAGGGGUGUGUCACACGUGGAUCAUCUACUUAACAGACUGGGAUCACUUGGGAAAACCGGCGAUUAUCGCGGAUAAUAUCUUGCACCGCAUGGUUCGAUGGUAAAUGUCGGCUUUUGUGUAUCUACUCGCUGGUUCUGGGCCGCUUUAGCUAGUUGGUAAGGUAAAAGCUUACCAAGGCAACGAUGCGUAGCCGACGUGAGUGGGGGGUCGGCCACACGGGAACUGGGACACGGUCCAUACUCCUACGGGAGGGAGCAGUAGGGAAGCUUCCGCAAUGGGCGGAAGCCUGACGGAACGACGCCGCGUGAGAGAUGAAGGUCUUCGGAUCGUAAAACUCUGUUAUUAGGUAAGAACAAAUUUGGAAGGAACUAUGCACGGCGUGACGGUACCGAAUCAGAAAGCCACGGCUAACUACGUG